GUGGGCAUACCGUGGAGUUAUAUAGAGGCAAUAUGAUAUUUUCUGUCUUAUUAUCUGUCCUUUUCUUAAUGAUUCCCAAUGUUCCAUAGCAAAACCUGUUCUACGCCCUCCUUUAGUCUCCUGCACCCCCUUUCAUUCUGGAUGAUUGUGUUAGGAUUUGUAGGACAGAUCUUGCACUUGGAAUGUUUUGCUCCACAGUAGCAUAUAAGAAAUGUCUAAAGUUGCAUUUCCGGUGUUACCAUAUCUUGUCUUCCUGCCUGCAGCUUGUGGCUUCCCUGUUUCAGUGCUGGUCACAUGGAAGCGCUCAUGCUAUGGAAAGUGGAAUUGAAACGAUCUCCGGUCUAUGGUUGGAGGGGCUGGGCCUGAGGCGUGCACAAUGCUGCUGA
This 386-nucleotide long non-coding RNA is filed under the name Chrysemys picta bellii (western painted turtle). Its description in RNAcentral is "lncRNA (ENSCPBG00000015325.1)". Lineage: Eukaryota; Metazoa; Chordata; Testudines; Emydidae. The record is from RNAcentral.